CCACUCCUUGCCCUUUCCGCCUAUAUACCGCCGUCGCAAGCUUACCCUGUGAAGGUGAAGAAGUAAGCAAAGUGGGAACUCUCCCAAAACGUCAGGUCGAGGUGUAGCAUACGAAGUGGGAAGAAAUGGGCUACAUUGCCUGAUUCAGGCCACUCACGGAAAGUCACCUGAAAUGGUAACUCAAAGGCGGAUUUAGCAGUAAAAGAGGAAUAGAGUGCCUCCUUGAAGCCGGCUCUGAGACGCGCACACACCGCCCGUCACUCUCCCCAACAACUACUACAUUUAAGUAAAUAACACCAUAAACAAAAUAAAGGGGAGGCAAGUCGUAACAUGGUAAGUGUACCGGAAGGUGCACUUGGAGUAA
This 364-nucleotide ribosomal RNA is filed under the name Thryssa kammalensis (Kammal thryssa). Its description in RNAcentral is "partial 12S ribosomal RNA". It matches the Rfam family "Bacterial small subunit ribosomal RNA", at positions 1019 to 1533 of the family's 1533-position model. The record is from RNAcentral. Lineage: Eukaryota; Metazoa; Chordata; Actinopteri; Clupeiformes; Engraulidae.